GACAGAGGUGGCAAGCGUUGUUCGGAUUCAUUGGGUGUAAAGGGCAGGUAGGUGGCUAUGCAAGUCUGGUGUGAAAUCCCAGGGCUCAACCCUGGAACUGCAUUGGAAACUGUAUGGCUUGAGUACCGGAGAGGUGAGGGGAAUUCUCGGUGUAAGGGUGAAAUCUGUAGAUAUCGAGAGGAACACCAGUGGCGAAGGCGCCUCACUGGCCGGUUACUGACACUGAGCUGCGAAAGCAAGGGGAGCAAACAGG
RNAcentral lists this ribosomal RNA (253 nucleotides) under uncultured bacterium. Its description in RNAcentral is "partial 16S ribosomal RNA". It matches the Rfam family "Bacterial small subunit ribosomal RNA", at positions 524 to 776 of the family's 1533-position model. The record is from RNAcentral.